RNAcentral lists this non-coding RNA (195 nucleotides) under Chromera velia. The record is from RNAcentral. Lineage: Eukaryota; Chromeraceae.
AAACGAGUAAAAAAAACGAAAAAGAGCUAGCACCCUCCGUAAGCGAAUGAAGCAGCCUUGAUCGAGGGUGUCGAUCCGUUUUUCUUUCUUUCUGCCUUUCCUUUCGUUUGUUUUACUUUGUCUUGCACUGGUCGAUCUGCAGGAAGAGAGAAAAAACGGUUUUUGCAUGUACGGUUGGAUGAAGAGAAAAGAACA